This 1136-nucleotide unclassified non-coding RNA is filed under the name Hevea brasiliensis (rubber tree). The record is from RNAcentral. Lineage: Eukaryota; Viridiplantae; Streptophyta; Magnoliopsida; Malpighiales; Euphorbiaceae.
AUCAAUACUUUCAAAUCAAGAAUAUUAGAGUGAGUUGCCAUCUUGUCUCGUUACAACAUUCUUAGAAGUCCGUUGGUUUUGAAGCAAGUAUAGCCGAGGAGGUUGAUAUGCAUAACACAGUAAAGCAUUCUGGAUUGGGUUGGGGUUUUAAAAAUGAUAACGCAUUUGUUUUGAGUUCCCAAAUAUCGAGCCUUGUCUCACCGUCUUAAGAGCCCAUGGACUCCCGUAUAAGUGUGAAUUCAUCUUCCCAAGAGCCGACCAAGAACAUCCACUAAAUGUUCGGCUUGGCUAGAUUAAUUUUGAUGAAUAGAUUUGAAGAUAUUACUAUUACCUUCUUUUUGGGAGAGGGAGGGAAAUGAGCCUUGUGUUCCCCCUCCAUUUUCCUCACGGAUCAAUGUACAAAGCUGCUGAAGUUCAGCUUAAUUCCCACCUAAGCCAAGACGUAAUUUUGAAUUCAACUAGUUCCUCCAGCUACAAAACCAGCUCCCAGAAUUUCCUUCACUACCUCUCCCUUUUUCUUCUUGUUAUCAAGAAAAAAAAAUAUUGAUAUGCUAGCUCAACAUAGAAACUAAAAUAACAGAUUACAUAACAGGACCUCGCCUCUUUGCACAAAACUUGCCAGCAGGAUUAUGACUUGAACAUCAUGCCUCUCAUUCAGCAUGAUGAAUCAAGUAUGGCUCUUGAUGAAUCCAAACAGAAUCGUAAAGCAAGAUUCCUUCGCAUGAGCACUAUUACGAUUGACUGACGCAGGAAUUACUACUACAGUCAGCACUCUAUCCGUAACCUCCGCAUUUCAGCUCUGAAGGAAGGGCUUGAAUUUAAAGUUCGGCGAGCAAGACUUCUUAUGUCCUCUCGAGAACAGUCCCGUGAGAUACGAACUAGCUCCCACAGUGCACCUCCGCUAACCAUGUCCUUUGCAUUUACUUCUGAAAUUUAUGAAAACCUGGUGUUUCAAGGGACGCGUCCAAAAGAAUUUUUCUCAACAGAACAGGAGGAUGCUGCACUUACCAUGCUGUGCCAAGUGGCACAGGGCAAGCUCACUGUGGCGUCUGAUUGGUGCAGCUUCGUUAUUAGCAUUCUGUACAAUCCAUGGAAGAGCACCAUCCACAAUCAGAAGAGACUUUCCAUUCUUAGUU